RNAcentral lists this ribosomal RNA (253 nucleotides) under uncultured bacterium. RNAcentral describes it as "partial 16S ribosomal RNA". It matches the Rfam family "Bacterial small subunit ribosomal RNA", at positions 524 to 776 of the family's 1533-position model. The record is from RNAcentral.
UACAGAGGUCCCAAGCGUUGUUCGGAUUCACUGGGCGUAAAGGGUGCGCAGGCGGUCGUGUGUGUCAGAUGUGAAAUCCCGGAGCUUAACUCCGGAACUGCGUCUGAAACUACACGACUAGAGCAUUGGAGAGGGAAGUGGAAUUCAUGGUGUAGCAGUGAAAUGCGUAGAUAUCAUGAGGAACACCAGAGGCGAAGGCGACUUCCUGGACAAUUGCUGACGCUCAGGCACGAAAGCAUGGGGAGCAAAAGGG